RNAcentral lists this ribosomal RNA (468 nucleotides) under uncultured bacterium. RNAcentral describes it as "partial 16S ribosomal RNA". It matches the Rfam family "Bacterial small subunit ribosomal RNA", at positions 28 to 507 of the family's 1533-position model. The record is from RNAcentral.
GACGAACGCUGGCGGCGUGCUUAACACAUGCAAGUCGAACGGAAAGGCCCUGAUUUUGUGGGGUGCUCGAGUGGCGAACGGGUGAGUAACACGUGAGUAACCUGUCCUUGACUUUGGGAUAACAUCAGGAAACUGGGGCUAUUAUCGGAUAGGAGCUCCUGCUGCACGGUGGGGGUUGGAAAGUUUCGGCGGUUGGGGAUGGACUCGCGGCUUAUCAGCUUGUUGGUGGGGUAGUGGCUUACCAAGGCUUUGACGGGUAGCCGGCCUGAGAGGGUGACCGGCCACAUUGGGACUGCGGUACGGCCCAGACUCCGACGGGAGGCAGCAGUGGGGAAUAUUGCACAAUGGGCGGAAGCCUGAUGCAGCGGCGCCGCGUGCGGAAUGACGGCCUUCGGGUUGUAAACCGCUUUCGCCUGUGACGAAGCGUGAGUGACGGUAAUGGGUAAAGAAGCACCGGCUAACUACGUG